Molecule: long non-coding RNA, 3251 nt
Organism: Sipha flava (yellow sugarcane aphid)
Lineage: Eukaryota; Metazoa; Arthropoda; Insecta; Hemiptera; Aphididae
Exons: 3
Source: RefSeq, a predicted model, not a curated record
UAAAUAUUAUGUUAGUUUUUACGUACCACCUAUAUCUACAGCUAAAUAUUUUACAAUUGUUAAUUAGUCUGUUAUGAUUUUAGCGUUGCCGAUUCAUAUAAUAGAUAAACUGAUAGUCUAUUGACUUAUGUGCAACGAAACAAACGACAUAGGAAGUGUUUUUGCAUUUAAAAUAUUAAAAUAAAACCUAGUAUAAGAAAUAUCAUAACAUUGAAUAUGAUAUAAUAAAUAAAGAACAAAUAUUUGUAACUUUAAAUUUUAAAUUAAGAGUAUUACACCCAAAGGUAAAUCGUUAAUUUUACUUGUUGUUGGUCAGUAAAAAUCCUUGGAUCCAGUUAUUGUUUUUACAAUUUUUGUAAAUUUAUCUAUACUUUUUUCUCCCUCUCUAACAGAGAAUUACAUUGUUCUUGUUCAUCACGAUCAAAUCUAAUGAAAAUGCAUAUCUUGUCCUCGUAAAAUAGUUUCACCUGAUGAGGUACUAUUAUAUUCUUGGUCAACAAACUAUUAAUAUGAAUUAGUGAUUACUCGUUCGUAGUUUACCGGAUAUGGGAUUGCAGUGUUUCCGACUAGGAAAUACAUGUAUUCUUAUAACUAUAUGUGUUUGAUUAUGUUAUUAAUAUUUUCUUGAUAACAGUGGCAACUUUUUAAAGAUUGACAAAAAAAAAAACAUUAUAAGAAGAUAUUUUAUUUUUGGCCGGUUUACACGCAACGACUUAUUAUACGUUUUAUCGAAUACGGCUAAUCGUAUCAAGUAAAAAGGAGCGUGUAUACAGUAAAUCGUACGUCUUAUCGAAUCGGAAUGAAAUCCAAGAUUGGAUCGAUAGACUAAUAGGCGCAGAUUCAUUUUACGUGAAGUUGAACGACAUAUCGUCACAUGAACAUUAUGGUAAACCACAAUAGUGCUUCUUCCAUAACGUCAAACAUCACUAAAAUAACUGAACACUAUUGAAGAAUGAACAGAAAUACAGUUGAAACUGGGAUGGAAAACUGAGUAAAAGUUGGAACGUGUAAACACUUUAUAAAAUGUACGUCUUAUUGUUCAUUUUAUAUGUCCAGCAAAACGUGCAAUAAGUCGUUGCGUGUAGACCGGGCUCAAAAGCGAUCUACAACCAAAUCAAGUGCAAUUUAAUCAACUGAAGCUGUUUCGGUCAUCUAAUUUGGUAAUAUAAAAAAAAAAUUAAUUACCUAUAUAGUAAUUGAAAUCGUUAUCUACGGCGGACGCGCUCGGCCGUCCGUCCCGUGAUCGGCUAUUAAUCGCGAAACAUAUUCAAAACCCACCAUGCCUACGAAUAAAACUAAAACUGUCGUAUCUUCGUUAAUCAUUUCUAAAUCACGUAUGCAUAGCGUGCUAAAUAAAUCACCAAACCAAUUUUCAAAUUCUGAGUCCAACGACGGCUGGAUUACCCCCCUCCUGAAAAACGCCAACUGGCAUCCCCAUCUACUCCAAAUUAAAGACAAAAACCAUCAACAAAAAUAUUUGUUACUUAAAAAUGAUUUUUCCUAUUUUCGGAUCCGACAGACUUAUCCAGAAAUAAUCCAGAACCCGUAAAAAUUGACUAAGAACCUGAGCACAUAGAAAACUCUUCUGCCCUUACCAAACCUCCAUCACCUAUUUUUAUUCAGGUAGUUAAUGAUUAUAAGGCCUUCUGUGAUAACAUAAAGCAAAUCACGAAAGGAGAACCUUUUUUAUGUAAAAGUUCUAUCAACGGCAUCAAACUGUCCACAAGUUCACCAGAUUUGUAUGUAUCUGUCAUUAAAUUUCUUCAAACCAAUAAAGCUGCUUAUCAUACUUAUCAGCUAAAACAAGACAGAUCCUAUAGAAUAGAUAUAAAAAAUCUUCACCACUCCACUCCAAUUAUUAAAAUAAAAAAAGGACUCUCUGCUCUCCUAACAUUACUAAUAUUCUACAUAGAAACACCAAACAACCUCUCCCGCUUUUUUUCGUCGAUUUGGAGCCUGACAUCAACAAUAAAGAUAUAUAUAAAAUUGACCACCUCUAUUAUACUAAGGUAAAAAUUGAAGAGCCCCGAACAAACAACCAACCAAUAUAAUGUCUCCGUUGCCAAGGCUUCGGCCAUACAAAAUCUUACUGUAACCACCCAAAAUGUAUUCGCUGUGGAGACUUUCACACCUCAGAAAACUGCGAAAAAUCUCCCAACCAACCAGCUACAUGCGCACUAUGUAGUGGAGACCAUCCGGCCAAUUAUAGAGGCUUCCCUGUGUUAAAAAAAAUUCAAGCUGCUCACCAUCUUAAGAAAUCUAAUCCAAUACAUAAUAACCUGAAACAAGCAUACUCUAAUUUUAAACCUAAUAAUGUAAAAUCUACUUCCAAUAUGAACUUCCAACCUAAAAAAAUCAUAUGCUCAAGCUACAACAACUGAUUUACCAAGCCAAGACAUCUCUCUUACCACUUCUCAAAACCCUCACCGCCUAGCCAAUCAAAUGGUGCUAUUUCUCAAUAAUUUCUAAGCGACCAUCAAUCCACUAAUCUCUCUACUUACUACUCUAAUAGAAAAACUAAUGCUGUCCAAUAGUAAAUAGAUAAAAUAAUAUUCCUCACUCUAUCUUAAUCUUUCAAUGGAACGCCAAUGAAUUAGAACGUCAAAAAAAUGAACUUUGUGCUUUCCUCUCAACAAACUCUAUUGAUACAGGGUCCGGCAAAAAAAUCUCCUGUAUUUUUAGACGUUUAUAUUUAAAGCUAUUUAUAGAUAAAACGGUAUACCGGGUAUAGAUAGAUAGAGGUCUACGUGCCAUUUUCAAUAAUCAUAAUGUCAUGGCAUGGUGAGCAACACACGUUUGUCGUGGAGGAAUCUGAAUUUUUUGGAAGAAAAUGGGCAAAAAGUUACAGUUAAUGCGGAUCGCUACUAUCACAUAAUUGAGACCUCUCUCCGAUCAAACUUAAAUCAGUUUACUAGGAACGAUGAAGAAGUCUGGUUCCAACAAGAUGGAGUCACAGCACACAAUUCACGACGUUCACUUAAAAUUUUGAGAUAGAUGUUUCCAAGACAUCUUUUCUCUUUACGAGGAGACAUCACCUGGCCCCCAAAGUCCCCCGAUUUAUCACCUUGUGGUUUUUUUUCUUUCGGGACAUUUAAAGGCCCUAGUCUACACUCAUCGCCCAACAUCUUUGGAAUCACUUAAGGAGGCAAUCACUCAGGAAGCAGCAGCUAUUACACUACAAAUGACUCUACGAGCAAUGGAAAACUUCCGGGAAAGGCUUCGUAAGUGCAUUAAUAAUAAAGGACAAUAUU